UACGUAGGGUGCAAGCGUUGUCCGGAAUUAUUGGGCGUAAAGAGCUCGUAGGCGGUCUGUCGCGUCGGAUGUGAAAACUCGGGGCUCAACCCCGGGCCUGCAUUCGAUACGGGCAGACUAGAGUACGGCAGGGGAGACUGGAAUUCCUGGUGUAGCGGUGAAAUGCGCAGAUAUCAGGAGGAACACCGAUGGCGAAGGCAGGUCUCUGGGCCACUACUGACGCUGAGGAGCGAAAGCGUGGGGAGCGAACAGG
RNAcentral lists this ribosomal RNA (253 nucleotides) under uncultured bacterium. RNAcentral describes it as "partial 16S ribosomal RNA". It matches the Rfam family "Bacterial small subunit ribosomal RNA", at positions 524 to 776 of the family's 1533-position model. The record is from RNAcentral.